This 253-nucleotide ribosomal RNA is filed under the name uncultured bacterium. RNAcentral describes it as "partial 16S ribosomal RNA". It matches the Rfam family "Bacterial small subunit ribosomal RNA", at positions 524 to 776 of the family's 1533-position model. The record is from RNAcentral.
UACGGAGGGAGCUAGCGUUAUUCGGAAUUACUGGGCGUAAAGCGCACGUAGGCGGCUUUGUAAGUAAGAGGUGAAAGCCUGGAGCUCAACUCCAGAAUAGCCUUUUAGACUGCAUCGCUUGAAUCAUGGAGAGGUGAGUGGAAUUCCGAGUGUAGAGGUGAAAUUCGUAGAUAUUCGGAAGAACACCAGUGGCGAAGGCGGCUCACUGGACAUGUAUUGACGCUGAGGUGCGAAAGCGUGGGGAGCAAACAGG